This 104-nucleotide ribosomal RNA is filed under the name Salvator merianae (Argentine black and white tegu). Lineage: Eukaryota; Metazoa; Chordata; Lepidosauria; Squamata; Teiidae. The record is from RNAcentral.
GUCAGUACUUAUACUGUCACUUUCCAUUCUCAUCCAAUCUCAAAAGCUAAGCAGGGUCAGGUUUGUUUAAUACUUGGAUGGGAGAAUAUUACUGGGUGCUGGUU